RNAcentral lists this ribosomal RNA (119 nucleotides) under Gadus morhua (Atlantic cod). The record is from RNAcentral. Lineage: Eukaryota; Metazoa; Chordata; Actinopteri; Gadiformes; Gadidae.
GCUUACGGCCAUACCACCUUAGGCACGCCCGAUCUCGUCUGAUCUCGGAAGCUAAGCAGGGUCGGGCCUGGUUAGUACUGGGAUGAGUGACCGCCUGGGAAUACCAGGUGCUGUAAGCA